UAGAGUUUGAUCCUGGCUCAGGAUGAACGUUGGCGGUGUGCCUAAUACAUGCAAGUCGAACGGAGAUAAUAGCAAUAUUGUCCUAGUGGCGAACGGGUGAGUAACGCGUUGGUGACCUGCCCCGAAGAGGGGGACAACAGUUCGAAAGGACUGCUAAUACCCCAUGUGGUCUCUGAGAUUAGACGCUUGGAGACUAAAGGAGCAAUCCACUUCGGGAGGGACCUGCGUCCCAUCAGCUAGUUGGUAAGGUAACGGCCUACCAAGGCGAUGACGGGUAGGGGGCCUGAGAGGGUGGCCCCCCACACUGGCACUGAAACACGGGCCAGACACCUACGGGUGGCAGCAGUAGGGAAUAUUGCACAUGGGCGAAAGCCUGACGCAGCAACACCGCGUGGAGGAUGAAGGCCUUCGGGUUGUAAACUCCUUUUCUGGGGGAAGAGAAAGGACGGUAUCCCAGGAAUAAGUCUCGGCUAACUACGUGCCAGCAGCCGCGGUAAAACGUAGGAGGCAAACGUUAUCCGGAUUUAUUGGGCGUAAAGCGCAUGCAGGCGGUUUUUUAAGUCGGACGUGAAAGCUCCUGGCUCAACUGGGAGAGGUCGUUCAAAACUUCCGGACUAGAGGACGGUAGAGGGGAGUGGAAUUCCCGGUGUAGUGGUGAAAUGCGUAGAUAUCGGGAGGAACACCAGUGGCGAAAGCGGCUCUCUGGGCCAUUCCUGACGCUCAGAUGCGAAAGCUAGGGGAGAGAACGGGAUUAGAAACCCCGGUAUUCCUAGCUGUAAACGAUGUGAACUUGGCGUUGGUGGGGUAAAAUCCAUCAGUGCCGUAGCUAACGCGAUAAGUUCACCGCCUGGGGACUACGGCCGCAAGGCUAAAACUCAAAGGAAUUGACGGGGACCCGCACAAGCAGCGGAGCGUGUGGUUUAAUUCGAGGCUACGCGAAGAACCUUACCUGGGCUUGACAUAUAGGUGGUAGGAAUUCGAAAGAGGACCGACCCUUCGGGGAGCCUAUACAGGUGUUGCAUGGCUGUCGUCAGCUCGUGCCGUGAGGUGUCCGGUUAAGUCCGGUAACGAGCGCAACCCUUACCGUAUGUUACAAGUGUCAUACGGGACUGCCGGUAUAAAGCCGGGGGAAGGUGGGGACGACGUCAAGUCAGCAUGACCUUUAUGUCCAGGGCUACACACACGCUACAAUGGUCGGUACAAUAGGUCGCAAAACCGCGAGGUGGAGCCAAUCCUCAAAGCCGAUCUCAGUUCGGAUUGCAGGCUGCAACUCGCCUGCAUGAAGUCGGAGUUGCUAGUAACCGCGCGUCAGCAACAGUGCGGUGAAUACGUUCCCGGGUCUUGUACACACCGCCCGUCACGUCAUGGAAGCUGGCAACACCUAAAGUCGGUAUCCUAACCCUCACGGGAGGGAGCCGCCAAAGGUGGGGUUGGUAACUGGGACGAAGUCGUAACAAGGUAGGUA
This 1465-nucleotide ribosomal RNA is filed under the name uncultured prokaryote. RNAcentral describes it as "partial 16S ribosomal RNA". It matches the Rfam family "Bacterial small subunit ribosomal RNA". The record is from RNAcentral.